This 463-nucleotide ribosomal RNA is filed under the name uncultured bacterium. RNAcentral describes it as "partial 16S ribosomal RNA". It matches the Rfam family "Bacterial small subunit ribosomal RNA", at positions 28 to 507 of the family's 1533-position model. The record is from RNAcentral.
GACGAACGCUGGCGGCGUGCUUAACACAUGCAAGUCGAACGGAAAGGCCUUUUCGGAGGUACUCGAGUGGCGCACGGGUGAGUAACACGUGGGUGAUCUGCCCUGCACUCUGGGAUAAGCCUGGGAAACUGGGUCUAAUACCGGAUAGGACCGCACUUUAGUGUGUGUGGUGGAAAGUUUUUUCGGUGUAGGAUGAGCCCGCGGCCUAUCAGCUUGUUGGCGGGGUAAUGGCCUACCAAGGCGGCGACGGGUAGCCGGACUGAGAGGUUGGUCGGCCACAUUUGGACUUAGAUACGGCCCAGACUCCUACGGGAGGCAGCAGUGGGGAAUAUUGCACAAUGGGCGCAAGCCUGAUGCAGCGACGCCGCGUGGGGGAUGACGGCCUUCGGGUUGUAAACUCCUUUCGCCAGGGACGAAGCGUUUUGUGACGGUACCUGGAGAAGAAGCACCGGCUAACUACGUG